AAUUCCUGUAAAUGGGGGUGCCUUGCUAAGGGCUUGCCAAUCAGGACAUUCUUUAAUAAUUUGCUUAGCUUGGAAAGACAGGCCCCCUGCUGUUUUUGCAAGCUGCAAUGAGGUCACAGUUUUCAAGGAAAGUGGCACAGAUGAGGGGGAGGUGCUCUGAAAAAAUAUGUUUUAGACAAAAAUGGUUAUGCACCAAGGGCCUUUUGUGACUUGAUUGACUAACCAUUUCCUCCGGGAGAAUCGCCAAUUCUUCCCCAAGGAAACCAUCAGUGUUUACAG
Molecule: long non-coding RNA, 279 nt
Organism: Phyllostomus discolor (pale spear-nosed bat)
Lineage: Eukaryota; Metazoa; Chordata; Mammalia; Chiroptera; Phyllostomidae
Exons: 2
Source: RefSeq, a predicted model, not a curated record